UCCCCGCUGGGACGUGCCUGUAUCCCCGCCAGCGACGCAUCCCGGACCGCGGUCAGCUCCCGGAGCCCGGCUGCUCUAAGGAUGGAGAAGAGGGCUCGGAGCUCCUCCAGAGAGGCCCAUCGGAGAGGCGGCGGGUCCCCGCACAAGGAGAACAAGAAGCCGAACGCCCAGAAGGGCGGCAGAGGCCGCGGGCGCCGGGAGCAGCCGGCCGUCGGGCGCGCAGAGAGCCCAGCGGAGCCCCGACCGCCGGCAGCCACCGUGGUGGACGUGGAUGAAGUCCGGGGCUCUGGCGAGGAGGGCACCGAAGUGGUGGCGCUGCUGGAGAGUGAGCGGCCAGAGGAAGGUACCAAAUCUUCCAGUUUGGGGGCCUGUGAGUGGCUUCUUGUCCUCACAUCCCUGCUCUUCAUCAUCGUGACGUUCCCUUUUUCCAUCUGGUUCUGCAUAAAGGUUGUACAGGAGUAUGAGAGAGUAAUUAUAUUCCGACUGGGACAUCUGCUUCCUGGAAGAGCCAAAGGCCCUGGCCUUUUCUUCUUUUUGCCCUGCUUGGAUACCUACCACAAGGUUGACCUUCGUCUCCAAACCUUGGAGAUACCCUUUCACGAGGUUGUCACCAAAGAUAUGUUUGUAAUGGAGAUAGAUGCCAUCUGCUACUACCGAAUGGAAAAUGCCUCUCUUCUCCUAAGCAGUCUUGCUCAUGUGUCCAAAGCAGUCCAGUUCCUUGUGCAGACCACCAUGAAGCGUCUCCUAGCACAUCGAUCCCUCACUGAAAUUCUCCUGGAGAGGAAGAGCAUUGCUCAAGAUGUAAAGGUUGCCCUGGAUGCAGUGACCUGUAUUUGGGGAAUCAAAGUGGAGAGAACAGAAAUUAAGGACGUGAGGCUGCCGGCCGGGCUGCAGCACUCGCUGGCGGUGGAAGCCGAAGCACAGAGACAGCCAGAGUGCGGGUGAAGGACACCCAGAUCUGUAUCCCUAGCUCUGCACCAGCUCUGGAGGGAUGGCCAUGACCAGAGCCCAAUCCCCUCAACGCCAGAGCCGAGAGAAGGCUGUGCUGCUCGGAGCCACUGCUCUGGCGUGCCAAUGAUUGCUGCGGAGGGGGAAAAGGCUGCAUCCGAGUCCCUGAGGAUGGCAGCCGAGAUUCUAUCAGGCACUCCAGCCGCUGUUCAGCUUCGAUACCUCCACACCCUUCAGUCCUUGUCCACAGAGAAACCUUCCACCGUGGUUUUACCUUUGCCGUUUGACUUGCUAAAUGUCCUGUCUUCUCCAAGCAAUAGAACUCAAGGAAGCAUCCCCUUCCCAAAUCCUUCCAAACAUGUUGAGCCACUGAAUCCUAAAAAGAAAGACUCUCCCAUGUUAUAGGAGAAGGAAAAAAGAUAAUGUGACUGCAAAGAGGGCUGCCAUAUAAUUGCCACAUCCCUGCGCGAGGCCCCCUGUCCUCACUUCCUGCCCUUUCUUUGGUUGCCAUGUGGAAUGUCCUUGGAAUGCACAAAGUCACCAUGCAACAACAUACAUGAAAGACAGUGAAAUCAUGUCAUGACAGAGAAGCCACAUGACAUGUGUAGCUGGAUCAUCUAAUCUGAGUAAUUGGGGAAAGAGCCUUAGCCUGCAUUCUACUUUGGAAAGAAUUUUGAAUCUAUAUAUGGCUAAAUUUUGACUUCUGAAGAUGUAGUUCAAAUGUCCUUUUCAACCUCUGGCCCCUCUGGGAAGGUUUCUGCUGCUCCCACAGCCCUUUCCACGUGCCCCUAUCAUGCGCUUAUCAAACACCAUUGUAAUCUUGUACGUAAGGUGCAGCCUUUCUCCAGCUACACUGCAAACUCAAAGGCACCCCCACCACACUCAAUCCUGUACACUCCACCCCAAGUUAUGUGCACUUAUCCUGAGAGUUGCACCACAGUGACACUUAAAUGUUUCAGUGUUUCUGAGUGAAUGAAAGAAAAAGGAGAUGUACUUGGGCUAGAUAUAAAAUGUAUACCUAUUAAAGAAUUGAAAAGGAA
Non-coding RNA from Sus scrofa (pig), 1988 nucleotides. The record is from RefSeq and is a predicted model, not a curated record. Lineage: Eukaryota; Metazoa; Chordata; Mammalia; Artiodactyla; Suidae.